GUCUACGGCCAUUGCCACCUCAAACAAGUCCGAUCCCGUCUGAUCUUGGAAGCUAAGCAGGGUCGGGCCUGGUUAGUACUUGGAUGGGAGACCACCUAGGAAGACCAGGUGCUGUAGGCG
Molecule: ribosomal RNA, 120 nt
Filed under: Pteropus alecto (black flying fox)
Lineage: Eukaryota; Metazoa; Chordata; Mammalia; Chiroptera; Pteropodidae
Source: RNAcentral